GUAAUGGCGAACGAANNGGGAACAGCUUGGGUUGGAAACUAAGGCUUCGGUGUCGGGUUGUGACCUGCAGACACAGCACCAACAGCGGCGCAACGGUAAGCCUCUUGGAAAAGAGCAUUCACUCGGGUGAGAAUCCUGUGCGUCGCUUGACGUCCGCUGCGUACGGUGCGUGCUCUUAAAGUCACGCUCCUUGGAAUUGGAGCGUAAAUUAGGUGGUAAAUUUCAUCUACAGCGAAAUAUAAGCUCGAGACCGAUAGCAAACAAGUACCAUGAGGGAAAGAUGAAAAGGACUUUGGAAAGAGAGUUAAAAGUGCUUGAAAUCGCUGAAGGGGAAGCGAAUGGAACCAAGACCCUGGCUGAGACUGCUGUCGAGUUUUCACUAGCCUUGUGUGUGAAUGCGUAAGCUUUUCGCACAUACGUGAAGGAAUGCUCGCGGUGUUUCUCAGCUUGCUCGUCAGCUGCAACGCUCGCUUGAGGAUGGCCCUUGUCGCGCGCGGCUCUUCUGCGGAAUUGCUUCGGCGCCUCUGGGGAUUCAGGCGAGCGUGUCUUGCUGAUUAAAUGGUUCUCUUCGACCCGUCUUGAAACACGGACCAAGGAGUCUAGCACAUGUGCAAGUUCUCGGGCGACAAGCCAGUGAGCAUAAUGAAGGUGACUGCUGGGAUGCUUUGCGCUAGCAACCGACUAAUCAAUUGGGAGAAGUUUGAGUCAGAGCGUGUGUGUUAGGACCCGAAA
This 732-nucleotide ribosomal RNA is filed under the name Gymnodinium varians. RNAcentral's name for it is "LSU rRNA". It matches the Rfam family "Eukaryotic large subunit ribosomal RNA", at positions 83 to 821 of the family's 3401-position model. Lineage: Eukaryota; Dinophyceae; Gymnodiniales; Gymnodiniaceae. The record is from RNAcentral.